GAGAAUAUAUUAACCCAGUAAAGUGCAAGAUCUGCGCAAUGUUAUGUAGGCCGUCAUCAGGAAUGGAAGGGCAGAGUGACCUGCGACUAGAUAUAACGGAAAUCAGCAUGUAGAAGGUAGGAAAACUAUACUUUUGUAUACUUAUAUUUUUGAUAAGCUUCAUAAAAGUUAAAUGUUCAUCAAAAUUCUUUAAAAAAAAAUGAAAUUAAAAGGAUGGGGCCCCAAAAGUAUACAGGUAAACCUUUUUAUCAGUGCACUCCCAGUACCGAUUGAAACAGAUUGGGGGAACGAAAUUGAGGACAGCUGAUAAAUCGAAAAAAAAAGAAUUAAAUACAGAAAUUAUAUUAUUUUUCGGGAGUGGGGCAGGGUCAAUACACAGUGAGUCAUUGAACAUUGGUUAUGUACGAAACGGCAUACAUUUUAUUUUUGAUAUCAUACAUUUUCAUAUUAAAUACACAAACACUUUUAAUAGAACCCUCGUAAUUUCCUUUGUCCGUGUAAAAAUUCCCAAGUCUUCACUUGAAGUAAAUGAUAUCUGGUUAGGAAGUAUAUUUUGAUUUGAGAGUUGUGUUCCCCAUUAUAAAAACGAUACCAAGUUGGGAUUAUGGGAAUGACCUUGGAAUUGGCAUAAACAAGGAUCAGUCGGUUCAAUUUUCUUGAACAAUCCGGCUGUCUGUAUAUAAAUAGACAAGAACACUCAAAUAUGGGGAUAUCAGUUAAGAAAUCAGUUAAAAUAUCAGGCAACGGUAGGAGAACAUUGACCGUCAAGUUCUAUUAAACUACAAUCCCGAGUACAAUCCAUUAUUUCAUCAAAAUCUUCGAUAUAAUUGUGAAUGGAAAUGGAGAAUGUCAAAAUUUUCUAAUAUUGAAUUAUGGUCUUCGCAAACUAAUUCCAAGACAACGUUUCCAUAUGCAGUGAAUUCAACACCACUCGGUCGAAAUUCGACAAUCGCACAGUUCCAAUUUGUGCCAGGGAAAACCGUGGAGAAAGAAAAUUUAACCGUUAUGAAAAAGAAAAACUUGACACCAAAUACUCCAACACCUGUUAUGACAACGAUUAAUUGACAAAUAGGAACGUUUGGAGAAUAUAUAAAAAAUGCAUACGUAUCUAAAAAAAAAAGAUGAAUAUAAAAAGAGAGAGAAAACAAAUACACAUUGUUGCCUUUGUUUGUCUUUUAUGAUUUUAAUUUUAGUUCAUUUAUAUAUUUUGGAGUUUAUAGGUAUGACGUCUAUUUUCACUGAACUGGUAUACAUUUUUAUUUGGAGACCAGAUGAAUUCUGAUGUUAUCGCUGUGUUGAUGACCAUUUAGUGGGCUUCGGCUGUUUUCUGCUAUAUUGUUGGGUUGUUGUCUCUUUGACACAUUCUCUAUGUUUAUUCACAAUUUUUAUUGCAUGAUAUACCUUAUGACCCGACCCCACACACACCGGCAAAACUGAUACUGAAAAUUAUUUUACAAAUUAAGUUUCUGACUUGUAAAAAUGAAUUUCUUUUGUUUUUCAGGAAAGGUAUGGGUCCUGUAUCUGAACCAGAGUCGCAGGACGCCUAAAGUGAAAAGGACAGAAAGGACUUCAAGUCAAGUAAAGUGAGUAUCAAUAACGAUACAGUAACACCGUUUGGAACCUACGAGAUUAUUAUUUUUAGCUUUACUCGGUUUAAAGCUUUUGUGUAUUAACAUAGCCAUCGCUCCUCAUUUUUGCUUUCGAACGUUCACAUUGAUGCUACACGGAAAUUAAUUCGUAUAAAAGUCGGUUAGUGACCUGUUCGGUUGUCAAGGGCAUGUAAACGAAUUAAAUGCAUUAUAAUAUAUUUAGUCAUUACACAGAUAUUUUAAGAAAGUAGGUCAUUGUCCGCAAAAACCACAUUACUUGACAUAUAAACGUUAAAUGUGUACCUAAUCACCACGAUCGUAGAUUGAUCAAUGAAUCUACGUCAUAAAGAGCGGGAGUUAUGUACUUUCGGUCAUUGACUCCACACAGGCGAUCGAUCAGAAAAUUAAUCAUGAUUCUUAUCCAUAGUCAUGUUAAUAAUAAAACGAAUAGCUCUGAAAUGACUGAAAUGACUGUAAUUCAACUCUAAUGAACGAGUAUCAUGAAAAGUAUUGCUAUCAAAAUCAGACAUAUUAUCUGGGACUAUUAUAUAGACAGUAUCAUGAUCUAUCAUAUGUCUUAUUAUAACUGAACAUUUGUAGAUCUUUGUAGAGACAUAUAUACACAUAUAUAUAUAUAUAUAUUAUAUAGCUAUAUAUGACUUUAAUGAGAAAAGAAACUGAUACUUUUCUUUGUCCUGUUUCACAAAGAGAUUAAAUUCAGUUAACAUUCUGCGAUGCAGCAGUGCAUGCAUUAUUGACUUAUUUCAGUAUUAUCCAAGAUACGGAAAAAGCAUUUAUGAAAAAGUUGCUUGUUUCUGGAUGUAACUCUUUUUACAAUCUCAGUUAUAUAUAUGAAAUACCUUUUGUAUUUAAUAGAUAAUGUUCAAACUUUGGUUCUUAUUUAUCCCACAGGCCCUGUAAAUGUAGUUUCUAUACACAAAAAUCGGAAAUUUUACUAAAUCAAUUUGUCUUAUAUAAUUUAUUACAGAAGCGUUUCAAACUGGCGUAGAACAUGGUCCUUAGAAGCCAGAUAUAAUAGCUUAAACUGUAUAUAACUGGUGUAGAACGUGGUCCUUACAAGCCAGAUCCCAAAGCUAAAACUGCUAACUAACUGGCGUAGUACAUGGUCCUGAGAAGACAUACACAAGAGCUAAAACUGCAACAUACUGGCGUAGAAUAUGGUCCUUUGAAGUCGGAUACAAGAACUAAGUCUCACGUCUAGACCAAGGAUCAUGAAGUGUACACUGUGUUAAUGAGACAAAGAAAAUUGUUACCAAGAUAACAAUUUCUUUAAUAUCACCAGGGUCAAUUUAAUUUAUCAUAGAAAAUGCAUAAUAGAUUUUGUAUCAAAGUUGAAAACGUGUUUUACCACCGUGAAUUUUAAUCAAGAUGUGCCAUACUUGUAUUAUCGAUUGCUUUGAUUACUAUGUGCCAUAUAUACUUAUUUUAAGAUUUAACUCUAUAUGAUAUUGUGAUAUUGUAUGCAUACAUUUGUAUGUAAGUGUGUCAGUUCCUACAAUUCAGCUAAACAACAACUAACAACUUUUAUAAAAAAAAAAUGAUUCUUCUUCAUUGUACCUCUGUCAAUAAAGACAUCGUAUAUAUAUAAAGGCAGGUCCAGCUCUGGUGUUUCAAAUUGGAAUAUAUUAUUUUACAUUUUUGUCACUGAAGGGAAUACAAUUUUGUUUUUAUCACUGUAGCUGAUCCUGCCUGCAUAGUCAUGUAUUCCUUGAACUAUUACUGAUACUAUGUAUCUAUAAUAUUAUAAUUGCUUUCGGGUUUGAACAGUUUCAAUCUAAUGUAGUAUGAUUGUUUAGGUCAGGCUUAUCCAUAGAAUGUCUAAUCAAUGUUAGCCCGAUCUGUCUUCUAAACACUAGUCUGGUUUUCAGUGUUAUUUGGUCUUUAAGUAUCAGUCUUCCUUGUUACAUAAAUCGUUACUUCCAUGGUCCAAACUGUUAUGAUAUGGUCAUAUUUAUAUAUUAACUGUUUACAAACUAGACAACCUGCACCUUAUAAAUUGAAAACUGUUCAAACCUGAACAUACCUUAACAUUUAAACAAUAAGAAGCCAGUAAAACACAGUAGAAAGGCUUUAAAAGUUAUUACUGUUGUUUCAGAUUGUAAACAAGAGAGAGGGAGAGAGAGCAAGACAUUUUAUGUUAUAAGCUGUUUAUUUUUAUGAUGAUGAGAGUAUGUGAGUAUUUAUGCAAAUGCAUGAUUGAAGUUUGUGCAUCAGAGUAUUAAGACAUUGUCUGUUAGAUUGAAUGUGUCUGUUUGUCUUGAACUAAUGAUCAUUUAUAUGAAAUGCAAGGUAGUGAAGUUGUUAUUGUACUGUUAAGGCUCACUUCUUAAGUGAACCAGUAUGUAUGAGAGAGGUAUAGAUGCACUUUAAACCAGCACAAUAAAGUACUAAGAGGUUGACAGAAGAGUAUUGUGAUAUGUAACAUUUAUACAGCAUAAUAACAUUGAUAUGUCUCCCGGUGAAGUGAUACAUUUUUGUAGUAUCACUCUGUAUUAAGCUUAUUGCUAUAGUUGAAGUGUUGCUUGUGUGUGUUUGUGUUGCAACAUUGGUUGCUUGAAAUUGUUUUGCUCAGGGCGAAUGUGGAUGCAAAAGCAUUUAAAACACAUUUGAGGAUGAAUUUAUCCCGGUGAAGUUCAUCACAAGUAAUAUAUGUUUUUAUGUUUAUUCUUUAUUUUCAUCAUAUAUAUCAUGAAUUAAGAUAACAUUGUUUAUCUUUUUGGGUGUCGAUUUAAAAAAAUACAACUGACUAACAUUAUGGAUUUCAUAAGUAAAACCUAAAAGUUAUUAUUUUAAAUCUAGUGAGUAGUAUUAGUUGUUGAAUAUUCUUGGAUACAUUUUAAAAUGUUGUGAAAAUUUGAAAUAAAAUUGAAGGCAGUACUAAAAUGGAAAAGAGGAUAUGUGCAUUUUCUUUAAAUUAAUCAAGGAAGUUUAGAAUUAAGAAAAUACCACCAAAUAUGUUAUAUAUAUAUUCAAGAACGUCCAUUCAUAUUUACCAAGUCACUCCAUGAAAAAAUCUAUAUCCAUGAAUUGGCACCUAAAUCCUCUGUUCAAAAGUAAGUGUUCUUAAUACUUCUAUAAAUCAGCUAAUUAGUUAGUGGAUAAACAUAGCAACUUUUGAGCAGCUGAGAUAAGGUCAAAUUUUAUAGAUAUGUUUUUGCUUCAUGGUAAGGGUAACAUUGAUGUUUUUUGUAUUCAUGUAGUUAGUACCACAUUUAAUCUAAGAUGUCAGCACUGCUGCUUAUCUUAAUUUGGUUAACGGUUAUAAGCACCUUGUAGCUUUCUUGCUUCUUGUGUAUACUUGCUGUUCCAAAUUGUUCUGUGACCAAAUUUCUAAACAGUUUAGGAUUUUUCUUAUGAACAAUGUUUUAAAUUUGUUUCAGAGGUCUUAGUUUUAAUAACAGUUAAGAUACUUAGACUUAGAUAAGUUUGUGGUAUUUAACUAUUUAUUAAUAAUUUCGGAUCAAAAUGAAACUUGUGUUUCUAAUACUUAAAUAAUUUCAUUUUUGAUUAGAAACAUUGAAUUAAUGUAAUUGUAAUAUGAAUACCGAUAGUACUAAAUCUGGCAUAAUUUGGUGCAUUAUUUUACAGAUUAUAGUGUCAAGUUAAAAUAAAUAUGUUUCAAUAAUAACAUAUAACAUAAUUUUAAUUAAAGUUGCAUUGAUUUUAGUUUUUCAUGUUUUUAUUGAUAAACUGCUCUGAUGCCACAGAUGCAGUUAUUUAUCUCUUCAAAGCAUUUUUUUAUAACAAGAGUGUACAGACAAUAAAAUAUCUUGUCUACUUAACUUAAGAUUAAAAGGAUAUACAAACCUUUCCAGACAGACAUGUUAACAUUACAAUCAUUCCAUACAUCAAAUAUAAUGGUCCUAUUAUUUAUAGUACCCGGAAAAUAGACCUUACGACAAAAACCUAACAACAACCCAUAAGAUAUGAAAAAGGUCAAGAAAAUAUCAAACUUGCCAGACAGACAUGUACACUUAAGAAUCAUUGUUUACACCAAUAAGUGUCCCUAUUGCUUGCUUAAAAAUAAUCCAAAAUUUCCUGGACAAAUGAACAUAUAAUCAAUAGUAAAUUUUGUACGCCAGAUGUGCAUUUUGUCCACAAAGACAUGUCAGUGACGCUAAAAAAGAGUGCCAUUUUUUUAGUAGUUUGUACAGAAUUUCAGUACAGUUAAAAGAAAUGAAUCAUUUUGGUAGUGAUUCAAACUGUAAAUAUGUCAGUGAUAUUAAAUUAAGUUGAAGGUAUGAUGUGGUGCUUGUUGGCCCAUGUAAAUAGGCGGGAAAUAAAAUAAUUGAUGAUACAGUUACUUGUUUAACUUGGUAAAUUUAGACCUUUAUGAAAAUGACAUUCAACUUUUUCUUGAAGACAGAAUUUGAUUGUAUUGCGAUUGAAGUGACAUCAUGAUGGUGAUUUACCCAGAGCAAUUCGAUUAACAUCUGAACAGAAAGCUUCGUUAUCUUUUUUCAGUUAGUCCAUCAAGAAAUGAAAGAAAGUUUUAAAGAACAAUAUGCAUUCUAUUUUGCCUUAUACAUUCCCCUCAACGAAACUGCAUACUUAUUUAGCUUUGUUGACGUAUCAUGUAUAGAUUCUGGGGAAAAAGCCUAAUCCAGAAAUUUUAACCUGAAAAUUGAGAUGAGGGAUUAUGAAAAAUUACAAAGAGAAUUACAUUCCUCACAAUCAAACCACAAACUAAGUUUAAUAAUAGUGUCUAUGAGGUAUUCUGAUACAUUCCAGACAACUAAACCACAUAUUUUUACUUACAAAAUAAAAUUUGAUCCUGGUAUCUAUGAUGAGUUCAUUUACAACCACUGGGUUGAUGCAACUGCUGGUGGAGUUUUAAUUCCCUGAGGGUAUCACCAGCCCAGAAGUCAGCAAUUAUCAUUGAUACGGUCAUAUUUAUAUAACAACUGUUAACAAAACUUUUGAAAUUUUGAAAUACCUCAGGAAUAAAUUACAUUAGCUGUAUUUUGUCAAAUUGUUAGGAAUUUUGGUGUUCAAUGCUGUUCAAAUUCGUACUUUAU
Molecule: long non-coding RNA, 6628 nt
Filed under: Mytilus galloprovincialis (Mediterranean mussel)
Lineage: Eukaryota; Metazoa; Mollusca; Bivalvia; Mytilida; Mytilidae
Source: RNAcentral